UAUUAAAUAUCUAACAUUUCCCUUCGGCUUUUGGUAUAUCAUGUGUCAUCUUUCGAUUUAUCCAUAUCGGCUAGCCACGUGGAACGAAUCGUUUAUCAUAGGCCACUAUUUUUUUUACGCCAAUUUGUUUAUUUUUUAAAAUUUUCCAAAUAUGCCAUGUUUGUGGAAGCAAUUCCCAAGUCCCUUGCUUUCUCCUUCGCCCACUAUAAUAGUUCAAGUAAUUAAAAGUUGAUGUGAUUGAUUGUAUAUAAUAAAUUUAAUUUAUAAAUAUUGUUUGUCUUAAGAGUUAAAUUAUACUUUUGGGUCCUCAAAUUAUAUCUUGCGUUACACUUUAUUAUCAAACUUAAAUUUAUUAUUAUAACUUUUCGUUCACACUUUAUUAUUUAUUACAAUUAAAAGUUAUAUUUUAAUUUAUUUAAUUAAAUAUUAAUGAGUCUGUAAUAUAAAAGUGAUACAAUAAUAUCGUGAUUAAUAACGUGAUAAAAACAACACGUCAAUAUUUAGUCAACUAAAUUGAAUCGUAGAAUUUUCGACUAAAAAUUUACACUGAAUAAAAGUUUGAGAACUAAAGCAUUACAAGUCUUACAGUUUGCGGAUUAAAAGUGUAAUUUAUGCAAAAAAAAAAUUGAUAAUUUGUUUUCCAUUUUUUUUUUUAUAAAUGCUCAUUCAAAAAAAAGAAAAAACCAAAAACAAAAAAAAACUACGUUUCCAUAUAAUGGUGGACGCUUGAUGUGGACAGUGGACCCAACGAGCCAAAAGUCCACGGCCUAAGACUCAGCUUGGUGGGCCCACCAAAGCAUUAUGGGCCGUCCAUUCCUUCAAUCAAAAGGGCCCACCGUCGAUGGGCCCCUCCUCGUGAUCCCGGACCACGGCGUAGCUGGCCGUAGACCCGCCCGGUUUUUCCCCUUUUUAAUUUUACCUAAUAUUAUUGCCUACACCAAGUGCACCAUGUAAGCCAUAUACAAACCAAUAGCUUACCUAAUAAAGCCUUGCAAAGCUCAAACUCAAAACCAUGCGUAACAUAAAAAUAUUGUAAAAUAUCCGUAAUUCUUUAAACACUAUGCCACAAAAAUCGUUGUUUUUAAUAUUAUUUACGCAAGCAUGCAAUACGAUAUCAGAAGGUAAUGAGUUUCUAGUCUGACAAAACUUCUAGUUUUAAUAAAUUUUCUUCUAUUUUAUUAAUUGUCUCUAACAUAAGUGUCAAAGGAUUUUAUAGAUGGUAUUUGAGAUUUUAAGUUCAAAGCAUAGUCACUUCACAUUUGUAGCUAGAUUUUUAAAUGAAACGGGUUGCAUUUUGAUUUGUACACUAAUUUACUGAUUUAUCGAAAAGUGUUUGUGAUGAGAUAUAAUUUAGAGGAUAUUAUAUAUACUAAAAAUAUUGUUCUAUAACAAAAUUAAAUUUUUUUUUUCAAAUUGGUUGGUUAUUUCAUACACACUAUCAUUUCUUUCAAUUCUCAGUAUUGAAAAAAUAUAUAUAUACUUUUGAAGUUCUAAGAAGUAUAAGGCUUCGUUUGGAAUUGUGAAAAAAUUACGUUAUAUGUGGUGAAAAAAUACGAUAAGAAAAUACUUUGUUUGUUUUCAUACAUAAUAUUGUGCAUAUCGCGAUGAAUCGAUUAGCGGUUUUACAGGAUAAAGCAGAAGUACAUCACUAUAUAUUUUUACCUAAAUUCUAUUUUAUUUAAUAGCGUCAGACAAGUCUCAAUACCAAACUGUGCCUAAAAAAAGUAUACUAGGUACCUAAAGAAGUAAUUAGAUUAAGAGAAGAUGAUUAGGAGGUCCACCGAUGAUUUGGUAGACCAAGUCCAUAGUGUAAUUCCUCAUCAAUCCAACCCAGCGUUGUACGGGCGGAUACAUAGAAGCCAAUAGCCAAUCCUCACAACUUAGACAUAAUUGGGUUGGCACAGAGCUUUACUUUGAUUAUUAUAUUAAUGAGGAUAACUUAAUUAAAUUACGUACAUAGUUAGCCACAGUUUAAUACAGAUUCUUAUUGUACACAUAUAUAUAUAUAUAUAUAUACACUUUUUACGUCAAUCAAAGUCGUAAUUUUUCGAGGCCAAUUACGUGUCAACUUCAAUCUCCUUUCGCAUAAAUUAAAAUUGAAAAGCCUCUGUGCGGAAAAAUUAUUCGUGUAACGUAUGCUAUCUAUACAUCUUGCGGAUAUAAUUUAAUUUAUUACGCGGAUCUUUCCAUGCAUAUUUGAAGGAAAGUGAUGGUAACCCAUACAAUUUUAUAAUAUAAUAUAUAUAUAUUAUAUAAAAUUACAUUCAUUUAAGUUAAUGAAAAAUGACAAAAUUCACCAAUGUUUUGACCUUGGUUUCCACGAUACACGUGGAGGGGAGUUUCCCGGGAAAACGUUUUCCGUUACGGUAGUACAUCACGAUCGUAUGAAGAAUUUUGACCAAUCAAACACACAAAAAAAAAAAAAAAAAAAAAAAAUUCCUUUGUAACGAAAAGCAUGCGAAAAUAUUAGUUAAGGAAUCAAUUUCAAUAGAACUUAUAAAUAAAGUGUCUCUACAUAUUUUCAUCAUAAUAAAAAUUCUAAUCGCAUUGUUUACUUUUUUUUUUUUUUUCUCUCUCUCUUUGUUGUUGUUGUUAAAAAAAGUGUAUGUAAAAAAAACAAUUUAAAAUGAUGAAUAACUUUAUUUGAAAAGAAUGUGAUUCGAAAAUGAUUUACCUCUUCUUAUUUCCUUAUUUAAUUGAGAAAAAGUAAACAAUGCAAGUAAAUUUUGAAGAUGUGAAGUGAUCAAAUUUAUCGUAAUUAAAAUUUCUCUCUCCCUCUCUCUCUUUCUAUAUAUAUUCUCUAUUAGAAACUAGCUUUUUGGUAAAUAAAAUAGUAUAUUUUGAUUUUCUCUGGUUUGGUGUAUUAAUAAAGGGAAAUUUUAAAAAAUCUUAUGUAAUUUUGCACUUUUUCAUUUUAGUGUCUUGUGAUUUAAAGUACAUCAAGUUAGUACCCUGUGGUUUUGCACUUUCUCAUUUUGGCACCAUGUGGUUUAAAGUAUAUCAAGUUAGUACUCUGUGGCUUUAUUUUUGUAUCAAAUUAAUACAUUGUGGUUGUAUUUUUGUGUCAAGUUAGUACCCCGUUGUUUUAUUUUUCUCUUAAUGAAAUAUUAAACCACAGGAUACUAAAGUGAGAAAGUGCGAAACCACAGAGUACUAACUUGAUACACUUUAAAUCACAGAAUACUAAAGUGAGAAAAAGUGAAACUACAAGGGGGUAUUUGAAGUUUUUCCCUUAAUAAAAAUAAGAACAGCUCAUUAAAUAUAAUAAUAAAUUAAUAUUUUUACAACUUACAGCAAAAGUGUAAUUUGAAAAAAAGAAAAAAGAAAAAAAAGAUGCUAUAUGAUUUAUAAAAAUAUUACUUUAUUAUUCUACUUAGCAAUAAAUUAUUACAAUAAAAUAAAAUGAAGUAUGUGGGGGCGUUUGGAUUGACGAAUUUGUAGAUUCAACAUAAGUCAAGUGUAGUGGUGUUUGAGUUUCCCUGAAGUGUGAUUAUUUUUCUGUUGUUUGUUUUGACGUAACUCGUACCACUGAAAGUUAAAUUCAAUCACUUCUGCUGUUUGUUUUGAUGUAACUUGGUGCUGGUAAAAUUAAUUUUUUGAGUUCCGUUGUUUGUUUUGAUGUAAGUAAGUGGAUCCCAUUAUCUCCUAAAUAUAGUAAUAAAUUUAUCAAUAUAAAAUUUAACCUAUUAUAUAAUUAAAUUUUUUAUUAUUAUUUAAAGAUAAUCUUAAUUUAUUAUAAAUAAGGUAAUUCUAACCCAUUAUAAAGAAAGUAGAGUUUAGGUUUUACUGUUUAAUAAAUUGUUUAGAGCAGGUUGAGUGUGGUGGAAGUCGAGUUCGGUACUUUAGAGCCGGAAGUCGAGAGUAGAUGAAGUGGAGCUCUAACGUAACUUGAAUUACAUUAUAUUUUUUACUUACACCAAAACAAAUAACGGAAGUGAUGGAACUUGAGUUCCAUCACUCCACUUACCCCAAAACAAACGGGCAAACUGCAGUGGGAUAAGUUAAAGUUUUUUUUAGUAAAAUAAUUUUAUAAAUAAAUUAUCUGAAAUAUAUAGUAAGUACGAAAUUUAUAAAAAGAAAAUAAAAAAAUAAACGGACGCUGGGAGCGGGGACUGAAAUGGUGGGACCCACAUCUACUCAUUGAAAGGAAUUUUUAAUUAUUAUUUAUAUUUAUUAAAAAAAAGAAAUCUAACUAAAUUUUGACGACAUAAAUAAAAAAUUAUUUUAAUAAUUUAUAUUAAAAAAAAAUGCUGCGAGGGAUGGGGGAGAGAGAGAGAUAAAGAGGGGGGCGAAAACACCCACCGAAGCAUCAAAGCGAAGCUCCAAUUUUUUUUUUUUUAAUUCUUUUUUUGAGGAGAAAAAUCGAAGGGACGAAGGAGAAGAGGAAGAGGGGGAGCAACAAAUCGAGUUAUAGAGAAUGGAGAGGUGAAUUUUUUUGGGGAAUAAUAAAGGAGAUAAUUGUAAUAAUAAUAAAUCGAAGAGAGAGUGCUCUUCCUCCUCUAUAUCCACUCGUAAGUCUCGCCAUUUUUUUUUUACCGUAUUUUUGCUAGAAAUUUUUGUGUGAUUUGGUUGAGAUCUCAUUCUAUUUUGUCUCUGGAAGUGGUUUUGGGGGAAAAGGAAGGACUUUUCGUGUUUUUUUUCUAAAAUUUUUUAUCUCGAUGUGGGGAUUUUUGUUUAGAUCUUUGGUUCCGUGGGGAUUGAUGUUGUGGGAGGAGAAAGAUUCUGGAGUAUUUGGAUUUAUUGUUUGACAAUAAUGGAGAGGAUCUGUUGGUGUUCCUAGGGUUUUUUUUUUUUUUUUAAAAAUUCUACGUUUCCUUUUUUGGGUAGUAGUAGUUUUCUAAAUUUUAUAGGCAAAACCUAGGUUAUACUGCACCUAAAUCCAUUGAAAUUUUGCAUUUCUAUGGUAGGAGUUUUAGAGACCUCGAAAAUUUUGAUCUUUUUUCUUGUUUCCCUUUCCCUGAUUCAUGUUUUGGAUUGAAAAGGAGUGCGUUUCGAUAAUUUUUGGAUGUGAUUUAGUGGCUUGUUUUAUUUUCUGGUACAAAGUUAACAAUUUGGGCUAGAUGGAUUGAAAUAAUUGAUGCAUCUUCCUCUUUUGCGCAUCCAGAUUGUGGAUUUUGGGGUUUGAUAGGGGUCGUUGUUUCGCCUCCUCCGAAUUCUUGAGCUUCGCGAAUCUGGUUACAAAUCGGCCGAUAUGUUGGAGGGCCAAUCUUGCUUGAUCAGGGCAUUGCCGAGCUCCUGCGAGCACGAAUCCAAGUGGGUGUACAUGACCUACCAGCUCCUCGAGAUCACGAGCAACAAAUGCCCGCCAAGUGCUGGAUUUGAUGAGCAAGAUCACGCCUUUCUCCCCAAAAGAUUGAAAUUGCCGAAGAAUUCAGAUCCCCUGGCAGAUCAGUCUGAUUGCCAGGGCAAUCAUGGUGGCGGCAGCCGCUACUCUGAUUCGACCUCCCUUAUCAAUCCUAUAGGCCGCGACAACUCUAUUAAUUGUCUACUCCGUUGUUCGCGCUCCGAUUAUGGAGCCCUAGCUUGCCUUAACCGAGGCUUCCGGUCACUUAUUCAGAGCGGCGAGCUCUACAGGUUACGGCGCCAAUUAGGGAUUGUCGAGCACUGGGUUUACUUCUCGUGCAAUGUCCUCGAAUGGGAGGCGUAUGAUCCAAACAACGGGCGGUGGAUGACCCUCCCCAGGAUGCCCCAUAAUGAGUGCUUCAUGUGUUCGGAUAAGGAGUCGCUAGCGGUGGGCACUGAGCUCCUUGUUUUCGGAAAAGAAAUCCUUUCUCAUGUAGUGCAUAGAUAUAGCAUUCUAACAAACUCUUGGUCUCCUGGUAUUGAGAUGAAUUCUCCUCGGUGCUUGUUUGGAUCAGCUAGCCUUGGAGAGAAAGCAAUUGUAGCGGGCGGUACAGACGUUUUCGGGAAUAUUUUAAGCUCCGCGGAGCUGUACAAUUCUGAGAUUCGAACUUGGGAGACUCUUCCCAGCAUGAAUAGGCCUCGGAAAAUGUGUUCUGGUGUUUUUAUGGACAGGAAGUUCUACGUGAUUGGCGGAAUGGCUAGCAACACAGAGUUGCUAACUUGUGGGGAAGAGUUUGACUUAGAGAAGGGUACUUGGAGGGUCAUACCGAACAUGUCCAACGGGCUUAAUGGGCCUAUGGGCGCACCCCCUCUUGUUGCGGUUGUUAAUGACGAGUUGUAUGCCGCGAGCUAUGCAGAGAAGGAGGUGAGGAAGUAUGAUAAAAAGAACAAUAGUUGGAUAACCUUAGGGAAACUGCCGGAGAGACCAGAUUCGGUGAAUGGCUGGGGAAUCGCAUUUAGGGCGUGCGGGAAUAGGCUUGUAGUGGUCGGUGGGCCGAGAGCAUUGGGCGGUGGGAUGAUCGAACUCCAUUCGUGGGUCCCAAGGGAGGGCCAGCCGGAGUGGGACAUGAUCGCUAGCAAGCACUGCGGGAGCUUCGUCUAUAACUGCGCUGUGAUGGGCUGCUGAUUUUUUAGGGCUCUACUUGUGCAAAAAAUUCAUUUAUUGAGGGGCACAUAAUACUAAUUCUGCUUAAUGGGUAAUCUCUGCCUUAUUUUUGAUGUUUCAGAUUUUACUCAACAUUCGGUAGGCUCGCUUCCGUUCCUUGUUCUCUUGACCAUUUAUCUUUCUUUGUUCUUUUGCGCCAUUUAAUUUGGAUCAAAGACUUUUAACUUCUUACUCUGUAUUCUGUUGGAAUGGGGAUUUCUGAAGAUAGAUCAUGCAUUUAGCGGUGAAUUGUAAAACGAUGUAUCCUCCAUUUGUAGAUUGUUAUUCGAUUCUAGAUCAAGAUUAUAAACUUCUUAGCUGUACUGUUGUGCUAUAUCAUUGUUGUCUGGUUUGUUGAGGGAAAAUAAAUGGUCGCUUUUAUGUACUCCUUUUUGGCCACAGAAUGUGGUCUAUUAGUCAUUGAACUUUUAUCAUAUUUGCAUCUUAUGUUGCUUUGAUGCCAUCACGUCUCGGAUUUGGUCAUGUAAAAUAUUCAGUUGAUUGUAUUAAAAACAACAGUGACUUAAGGAGAAGUGAUCAUUUCUGUCAAUUUAGCUAAUGGUAUUUCUGAUUAUUAGUAGUAUUAUGACUGGCUUGUCUGCUUUCUUUGUUGGAAGGGCUACAUACGUAUUUAAUUUGUUUUGUUUUGUGUUGCUAAUUUUCUGCGAAAAAUGCAUCAUCCUUGUGGACGGCUGUGAUGUUUAAUUAAGGUGUCAUAACUCCUUUGGAACAUUUGCUUCCUCUCCAAUCGACUUGUAUUUUUUUAUUUUAUGUGCUUUUAUUUUUGAGCUUACUAUAUGUGCUUUGUAAUGUGUAUUUCUAGUAGUUUGUGGGGGUACAUUUUGCGUCUUAGUCGUCUAUAUCAAUUGCUUAUACUUUUUUUUUUUCCCUGAAUGCUUUUGCUCGUUAGACUUACGAAAUCGAAAGAAGACAAAAUAUUUUCUGCCAAGAAUGAAACCAAAAUCUUUGAAUUCUCGUAAACUUCUCCUAACUUCUCUUCCUUUGUGCCCACUCAUGUAGGGCACUACUGUCGAAUUUCUUUAUAAGUUUGUAAUAAAUAUGUAUUAUAGAAAGUAAUUCAUGAAUUAUGCUUCGCUAAAGCGUCCAAGUAAUACUGCAAUUGAUAACUUGUCGUGAAUAGUGAAAUUUUUAGAUUCUAUCAGAAGUUCUUUUUGCAUUUGAGGAGUAGCGGUGCAGAUAUUUUAGUUCAAGAUUGCGAUUCAGUCGUCUGAAAAUUUUAUGUUUGUCAACUUUGCUGCUUCAAAUGCUUGUUAGUAUGGAAAUGACCUUAUACUGGAGUAGUUAUCUUAUGCGUCUACAUGCUUCAUAGAGUAACUGCUUAUCUUGUUAUUCUAGAAACACUGAACUGAUAAUGAAUGGUCAAAAGAAAUGUAAGUUUUAUGAUUCAUUAUCAUGGUGUGUUUUGGUUCCUUCAUCUGGUUAUUUGGUCUACCAACUCAGCAUCUCCGCGAAUGCGGCUUUUUUAACUGCUUAGUGAUUUCUAUAAUUUAGGCUUUUCCGGUCGCUUUUCUUUUUCAAACACAAAAAUCUUUUUACUGCUGCAGUUUUGAGCUGUGCACAGCAGUUUUCUUUUUCUGCUUUCACUUUGUAUGCUCAGUGGACUAAAAAUCUGAGAACCAAUCAUCUAAAAUGUAAUUCUAUGUGUCAGAUAUAGACAGCAUAUACGAAUAGCGGAAAAACAAACAGUUUUGGCGCAUCUACUGCUGCUUUGUAUUCGCCGAAUUCUUUUUACUGCAGCAACAUUUUGCCGUUCCUUCGAUGUUUACGGCGCGGCGGGAGACUCUUCUUCGCGCAUUCACUGCUGGCACAGCAGGAUGAAUUGGCAGCUUCGGCAGUGCUUGAGCUGGAAGCGCUUGUUUGAAAAGUAAGCGAUCGAGAAGUACUUCACUAAUGUCACCUCUGAGCAUUACAAAGUAGAUUUUGGAUUUUAAAUUUUGAAUUUUGAAUUUUAAAUUUAAUUUGUUGCUUUUCGAUUUUAAAAGUCGUCAAAUUCGAUUUGAAUUUGAAAACAUUUUAGAGUACGAAGAGAGAAAAAGGUGCGCAGUGAGUGGUGGGAGGAGGAGGGGGAUCAUUCCUGAUUUUGGUGAACCGUACGUAGGGGACCGUAGAAGGGGAAUGGGGACGAGAAAGGAACGAAUCGCAGUCUUGGAAAAGCGUGCGCCCGUCCUAUUGGUCCCCGCGACGGGUGGGGUCCGCAUGAGUGGGCUGUGAUUGGUCGGAAUCUAAGGACCACGAUUAAAAAGUACGUGGCGUUGCGGUACUUUCCCCCACCGCAACUUUUUUUAUGCUUGUAUACCCGUAGUCUGAUUGAUAGAUAUUCUUAUCUACGAAAAUGUUAGCUUGGUAGCUGCUAAUCGGACUGAAGAAAUGUUUCAAAAUCCUAAAAAAGAAAAACAUGCAUAUAUAUAUAUAUAUAUAUAUAUACCGGUAGUCUGAUUGAUAGAUUUUCUUAUCUCCGAAAGUGUAAAAAAAACAUGCAUAUAUAUACCGGUAGUCUGAUUGAUAGAUAUUUUUAUCUCCAAAAGUGUAAGAAAAAUAUGCAUAUAUAUAUAUAUACCGGUAGUCUGAUUGAUAGAUAUUCUUAUCUCCGAAAGUGUUAGCCUGCUAAUCGGAUUGAAGAAAUGUUUUAAAAUCCUAAAAAAGAAAAACAUGCAUAUUGCCUGCUAAUCGGAUUGAAGAAAUGUUUUAAAAUCCUAAAAAAGAAAAACAUGCAUAUUUAUAUAUACAUCUGCUUUUGCAUGUUCAGAUGGCAUAGAAGAGAUUUUUUUUCGUUUAUUUUAUUUAGAAAUAAAUUUAGCUGAAAAUGUGAAUCAACUAGGAUUCGAACUUGGGUCUUGGGUACCAACAACCAAGCUUUUUUCCACUUGCUCUAAGAACGGUCAGUGCAUAGAAGAGAUUAUAUUGUAAGUGAAUUGUUGCGAUCUACAUGUAUUCUUGUUGAUUUUUGGUUCAAAAUCUCAAUAGCUAUUCGACCAAAUCAAAUUGAAAAAUCUUAGGUCGAAUCGGGUCAAUCGAAAAAAGGGAACGUAUUUUCAGACCCGACUAGGCCCAGUAGACCGGACCAUACUCGGCCCAACAAGCACACGAAAUAGUUUAUUGGGAAAAAAAUAAUAAAAAAAUAAAGGAAAAACUAUGACUCGUUGUUCAAUUGUUUGAAACUUCAGUAGGAGUUAAGUAUUUACAGUCUUAUUAAAAUAAUAUAUAAUUACAUAUAAUUUGCUCUGGAACCAAAAACACUUGCUUUUGUAAUUAUUGGCAAUAUCGAAUAUUAUGCAACUUUAAUCAGGGACAUUUGAGAUGUACUAAACAGUAAAAUAAAACAAAAUGUUGAUUUUUACGUUAUUAUGGUAAAUAAUAAUAAUAAUAAUAAUAAUAAUAAUAAUAUAGAAUAUAGUGCUUACCGCUUAAACGGACGGCCGAGAUUAACGCAUCACUACUCUUCUAACCGGAAACUUCCGCCGUUAUUUUCCUUCCCGCACGCUCUCGCUCACCUCCUUCCUCCUCCCUCCCGGCAACGCCAAACCCUAACCCUAACCCUAACCCGAAUCCAACGUCUCCUCAUUAGAUCGAAGAUAUCCAUGGCGUAAGGAGCGACGCGAUCCAUGGAAGCGGCCCCGGGGCUGCCCCGGCCUACCGAUCUCACCCCCUCCAUCCUCCGAUUCCUCGCCGAUGAGUUCCGCGCCGCGGAGGACCUCUCCAAAUCGGCGGAUCUCGAAUCCGGGAUCAGGGAUCGGUGCGCGAAUCUCGAGGCCGUCCUCGACGAUCUGGGCCGCAGGCUCUCCGAGGCCGUCGCCGCGUACGCCUCCCACGCCGGGGAGGUCGAGGGGCUCCUCGGCAGGGUGAGGGAGGGGUUGAUCGAUCUCCGCGCCUCCGUAUCCGAGUCCUCUCAAGGUUCGGUUUGAUCGUUGCUUUUUAUAGAUAGAAUUUGCGCUUUUGACUACUUCAAUAUACGGCGAGUUGUAAUUGUGAGAAGGGCAAUGGUCGUAGGUGUUGGAGAAGGGGAUCGAUCGGAGAGGAGCGAGCGGAUCUUGCUAGAGGAGCUACCGGCGUUGGCGAAGGAGGUGGCGAGAGUGGAGACGGUCCGCGCGUAUGCUGGUAAUGUGCCAACUCAUUUAGACUUAUGCAGUGGAUUUGCUGUUGAGUGCUUAAUUUGUAACGAAGUUGAUGAAUCUGCGAAAUGUGCUGCUUUUUGAAUCCUAAAUUUAUCUUUCCUUUUUCAAGAAAGAAAAUUUUUUAGUACAAUCACAGUAUCCAAAAAAUAAUGCAUAAAAAUUUAGACUUUUUAUAGUUUUUGAAAUUCUUAGUUCAAAUUCAACAAAGGUAAUUACCGGCGAGGGGCGACAGUGGUGGAGAAGGGAGGCCGACUUGUGUUUGCUUUCAUUCGAUCCAGGAAUGAGGGGAAUUGAACGCAGGGAUAAGAAAACAGAUGAAUGUUUGAUAGGCCAUUAUGAAUAAAUAAAGGGUCAAGCUGUUGGAUAUGCAACUAUGGACAAAUACGAACGUGCUAAGAUCUUUUCACCAAACUAACAGUUUCAGAAGACCUAUUUAUACGUACCACAGAACUCAUGUUGGUUUAAAGAGAUAUAAUUCAGGUUGUAAUUUUUGGUUGUUUCGCUUAGUGAAGAUGCUACGAUGCAUAGAUCAAAUAUUUUGGCUACCAAUUUACUGAAACUUGAAUCUGAAGGUUAUUCUAAUCUUUUUUUGGAAAAAACGGAUCCUUUCCAACACAAAUGUGUUGAUUUUGCUUUUAGUUCAUAACUGGAUUUUUAAUACUAGAGUUUCUGCUAGUUUGGCUUCAGAUUCGGAUACAUUUAUGCUUAUGCAAUAUUCAAGUAAAGCUGUAGUAUCUUCAACUUCACCUUUUAUGAGUAACUUGUUUGAAAAUUUCUCAUCUUCUGACAUUUCCUGUUUGCUUAUUAGAGUUAUGGAUUGUAGUUUACUAUCAUGGAUUAAAUUUAUUUAUGGGAGGUUUUAUCCUGCACAGAAACGGCAUUAAAACUUGACAGCUUGAUUGGGGAUGUAGAGGACACAGUUUCUUCUUCUGUCGCAGGAAAACUACGAACUCAUAAUGCUGUUAAUUCAGAGGUGCGAAAUGCUAGAUUGCAAAGGUGGAAACUCUAUAAUCACCAAGCUUUUAUGCUUUUAUUAACCGUUCACCUUUUCUCUUUAUUCACAGGAAACUCGUCAAAUGGCUAUCAGCUUUCUCAAAGACAUAGAGGACAUAUUGAUUUCAGUUACUAAAACAAGGCCUCAAUGGACUCGUCUUGUCGCGGCUGUGGACCACAGAGUUGACAGAGCUUUAGCUGUUCUAAGGCCACAAGCAAUUGCUGAUCAUCGAUCUCUUCUAGUCUCCCUUGGGUGGCCUCCUCCUUUAACUGGUUCAAAUCUUCUAAAUACGAAUUCAUCAAAAACAGCCGAGCUUUCAAACCCUCUAUUUUCAAUGAGGGGGGACCUUAAGAGUAAAUACUCCGAUAGCUUCCUCUCCCUCUGCUGCUUACAGGAACUGCAAAGACGGAGAAAAGCUCGACAAUUAGAAGGAUAUAAUCUUGAAACCCUAAUUCGCCAACCAUUGUGGGUUAUCGAGGAGCUAGUGAAUCCAAUAGCCGUGGCCGCGCAACGCCAUUUCUCUAAAUGGGUUGAGAAACCUGAAUUUGUGUUUGCUCUCGUGUACAAGAUCACUAGAGAUUUCGUUGAUUCCAUGGAUGAGAUAUUGCAACCACUUGUGGACAAGGCCAGGCUUGUAGGAUAUAGCUGCAGAGAGGAGUGGAUCUCGGGAAUGGUUACUGCACUAUCGCUAUAUUUGUCGAAGGAAGUAUUCCCCAAGUAUGUUGAUCUUCUUCAGGAAAGCACAUCACAUGCUCGAGUAACAUGGCUCAACCUUGUUGAUUUGAUGAUAUCUUUUGAUAAGCGAACCCGGGCCCUGAUAACUAAUGCGGGACUGCUAAUGUCUCUUAAAGAAGACGAGAAUUUGCCGAGGAUAUCAGCUCUCUCUGUUUUUUGUGAUCGCCCAGAUUGGCUUGAGGUAUGGGCGGAAAUUGAAAAGGGGGAGAUACUAGAUAAGGUAAAAUUGGCGAUGCAGAAUGAGAAAAGUUGGAUUACAAGGAUUCGAGGGGCUGUUCUCAUAUCCGGAUCAGAUGAUUACAACUCUCCUGCUAUUUCUGGUGCUGUUCUUCAAGGUGUAUCUUUGUUAAUCGACCGGGCUCGUCCUUUGCCCAGCAUCAUGCUUAGAGCUAGGUUCAUCAGGUUGGCUCCUGCAUCAAUCUUGAUGGAAUUUGCUGAUUGCAUGCUCCAUAGAUGCCAAGAAGCAGAGGGCCUUACCGCUCUGGCAGAUGAUGAUGCCCUAAUUAAGGUUUCGCAGUGCAUUAACGCAGCCAGGUACUGUGAAUCAAACUUAAUGCAAUGGUGUGAGGAUGUCUUUUUCCUCGAGAUGGAAGCUUUACCGCCAGAAUUUGGUGGGAAAUGUAUUUUCGACGAGGAGAUAAACAAAUUGAAGGAGUUUAGAGUGGAAUGGGUUGAUAAAAUUUCAACCGUCAUUUUAAGGGGAUUUGAUGCUCGAUCACGAGACUAUCUAAAAAACAAGAAGCAAUGGCAGGACAAGUCAGAAGAGUUGGCCGUUUCAAGGAUCAUUGUCGGUUCUUUAGAUUAUCUUCAAGGUAAGAUAUCCAAAUUGGAAGAGCACAUAAAUGCGUUGGACUUUAUCACAAUGUGGAGAACUGUAGCAGAUGGGGUCGAUCAACUUCUAUUCAAUGGAAUUCUCAUGAGUGGUGCAAAAUUCUACAAUGGCGGUGUGGAGAGAUUAGGCGGUGAUCUUAAUGUGUUAUUCGGGGUGUUCGCUGCGUGGUGUUUGAGACCUGAAGGGUUCUUUCCUAAGCUCUAUGAGAGUUUCAGGAUAUUAAGGAUGGAUGAGAGUGCGCUCAAGGAAGGAAUGUCGAAAGCGAAGGAGAGGUGGCUGAAGGAGAACGGCAUAAGGCGCUUAAACAUAGUAGAGGUCGAGAAAAUAAUGAAAAGUAGGGUCUUUCUGUGAUGAUUAUCUCAUUAAUUUAUCUGAAAAAGGUAGACGAUAAACUAACAGUAGGUGUCUGUUAAGGAAAGAAAAAGAAAGAACUGUUUUAUUGGAAGUUGUUGUAGUCAAAUAGGGCUUCCCAAAAAUAUGAUCUUUUUCUUAUUCUUUUCAAUUAUAUUCUGUUUUUGUUCUUAUUUCCUUGAGGAUGUAAUUAUUUGCAAUAACAGAUCGUCUUUUAUGAGAUUAAUUGUUUAAGCUUCUCAAUUUUUUGAAAUGCUGUUUUUUCAGUUUGUUCCUGGUAAUCUUUUGCAAACUCACUGUACAGGCACUUCUUAGGAGAUGUUGCUGCUCUUUUCUUGGCUAUGUAUGUUAUCUUGCAAUAGUUUCGCAUGCCCUCUGCUUCUUUCACUUCGUGUCAUUUUGAUUGUGUACUCUCUGAAUAUUGUUUGACUUGCUGAUAUAUCCGCGAACAUUAUACGCCACCUUAUCUUUGCUAGAUUUGUCGGCAUCUUAUUAUUCAGCUGUAUUUUCAUUAAACAAACAGUUUAAAUCACUCGGGGAAAAUUUAUUUUAUGCCAUGUUGUCUAAACCAAACUAUUACAUUAAUUUGAUCUGGAGUUACCAGAAUUUUGUGAAUCAAGAGACAACUUCGAAUCUGAGAAACUGCAAAAAGUACAUCUUAGAAAUAAGAGUCUUUCUAUAGUUCGUACACUCUCUUGUAAUGCAUAAAGUGCGAUCCAAGUAGUAGUUUUAGAAGAACUAACUGUACUAACAGAGUCUUUCGACAAUACCAUAAAUAGCAUCAAAUUAGAGUUUCUAUAUUUGAGCCUCAAGAGUCUUUUUUACUCUCCACUACUACAGAAGCAAUAAAUUUUUUUCUAUCGUGUUUGUUGACAAUAGAUAAGCUAAACGAAUAGGAUAGAACGAGAGACGGACUACUAAAAAUCCAGUAGGCUUCCUGUUGUGGCGUCGACCCACAUUCGCCGCGAGAUCGAUGGAUCACCAGGUGAAGGACCACAAAAUCUUGCAAUGGUCCAUACAGAAAGAUUUUUCUUUUAACAUUGUGUGCUCAGAUAUGCUUAAAAGUUCCCUUUCCCCUGCAACAAAAAGAUAUGGAGAAGGCAUAGGUCAAUCUCAUAAUGUUGGCUGCUUUGGUUUGCAGAUCAUAUCUCUGUUCAUACUUGCUUUGGAUCUAUUUGGAGAAACUUCUUGGUUCCUGCUGUGGACCUAUCCCUAUCCUUAUACACUUCAUAUCGGAAACAUCGGGUUGAUUCGGCUACGAAACAAAUAAAUGCGAACUCUUUGAAGCCCCUUUCGUAGGAAAUUUGGUGAAGGAAUACGACAAUACAAGUUAAUCUUCUUUAAGUAUCAUUAUCAGAGAUCUAUUAGAAUACUGUUUUUACAGACGGUUGAUAUGUUGGUAAAAUCAGCACCUUACGGAAAGAAUAUUUAUUUUCUUCGCAUUUUUGUACCGGUGUAUUAUAAAGGCAUAUGGGUCAUAGACAUUCAUUAAUUCAUUGCGGUCACCAACAAGUUUCAUGAUGAAGAGUUAAUAGUCACUAGUUAUGGAUAUGAAAUUAAUGCAACAGCGAAUCAUCAUCAAAGUAAACAGUACAUUAUGCAAGGAAGGAUAAAGGAAAAUUGAUUUACCAAUGGUAAGUUCACAAUGCAUGUUGCGUGCGUAUAUGACAUACCUAGCUUCGGUAACAAUAUAUAAUUAGUAUAUGUAUAUCGUGCUCGCUUAUUAAUUGUAUUUUAAAAUAUGUUCUUAGUAUCUAUAGCAUUAAUAAAUCAAUCAGUAGAUUUUUAAUUACCAGGCCUCGGGCCUGUAGUCUCCAUAACCCUAAUCAAGCGAAACAUCCUAAUCAAUUUCGCCGCUUUGCGAAGUGCGGUACUCCUUAUAAACUUUUUGACGGCUAUUGUAGUUGUGAUGUCGUGAUGACACAUAAUGUGUGGAUAAAGGAGAUUGUUAAUAUCAAUACGCACGCACAGAAAUGCAAUGAACGCGACUUCUCCUGUUACGACAAGUGAUAAGAUUCUUGAAUGAAAAUAAAAUUGAAAGUUCAAAGUCAAUCGUUUAUUGCUGCUUAAAUGAAAGGAGUACUGAAUGACGGCAUAAAUAAAGAAAAGGAUCUCGACUCGUAAUGCAAAUUAAAUAUGUGAUAAAUGGUUGAGAUUCAACCGUACAAUCAGUAAACAAAGUAUUUCGUUGACUGUUAAUAAUGUGGAUACCUUCUUCUUUCUUUUUCUUUUUCUUUUUUUUUUUUUCUAAAAGCAUACAUAACAAAACCUGUGAUUUUCGACGAAUUGCGCAAUCGCACUAUUCCACGGCAUUAUUAAAUAGAAUUGAGUUAACAUUUGUUUAUACGAGUUCAAUAUGGUUCUUCAUAUUUGAACUAAUCCAAAUACGAAAUAACUCGACAAACGUGCUUACACUGCUAAUAAGAGGAGUCGUGCGUGAUAAAAUUUAUUGAAUCUGAUCAAAUUUGAUCGAGGACUAAUAAUUUGAUUGGACGAAUCUAUAUAUUAGUGUCAAAAUCAACAUCAUUGAUAACAUCAUGACCCCCCCACGACAAUCUAAAACUACUCAUCACAAUCAUGGAAAUCAUUGAGUACUAUUAUUAGGACGACACUGUUGCAUGAUUGGGACUUUUCUAGUACCAAUGUUUAGUGACGCAAUAGUUAGGAGAUUAGACACUUAUAACUUAUUCCUAACUCGGAAGGUUCCAUCAAAUGCCAACAAUAAGUAGCUGGCUACUAAAUACUAUAUUAGAUAUGUCAACGGACCGGAUUUGAGACGAAUUAUCAAAAAUUUGAAUCCAAAUUUGAUAAUUAAAUUCAAAUUCGAAUUCGAUGGAUUUUGAAGAUUCGUAUUCAGAAUAAAGUUCGAUCAAAAAUUUUAAAAAAGUUCAAAUUCAAAGCAAAUUCAAAUACAACAACAAGUAUUAAUUAUAAAUUAUGUUGCAUAAAAUUAAUUCGGAUUUGAGUUCACUUCUGAUAAAAGUAAAAUCCAUACCUGAAUACAAAUGAGUCGGAUUUUCGCUUUUUUUAUAUUUCUAUCUGAAAUCAUAUCAGUUUGGCAUCAGAUAAAUCCAGUCUGCUCUAAUUUAGCAUUAAUAAUAUUUUAAAAAGCUGAUUCAUUAAUAAUAAUUUUUUAAAAAUGUAAAAAGUAUCAAAAAUGUU
Molecule: long non-coding RNA, 16694 nt
Filed under: Ananas comosus (pineapple)
Lineage: Eukaryota; Viridiplantae; Streptophyta; Magnoliopsida; Poales; Bromeliaceae
Description: long non-coding RNA (ACOM_LNC010995)
Source: RNAcentral